GUGUACAGUGCCUUUCACAAGGAGGUGUCAUUUAUGUGAACUAAAAUAUAAAUGUCACCUUUUUGAGAGGAGUAAUGUACAGCA
Molecule: non-coding RNA, 84 nt
Filed under: Gorilla gorilla gorilla (western lowland gorilla)
Lineage: Eukaryota; Metazoa; Chordata; Mammalia; Primates; Hominidae
Also listed under: 1 other name
Source: RNAcentral